AGAAUCAACGCUGGCGGCGUGCCUAACACAUGCAAGUCGCACGAGAAAGGGGAGCAAUCCCUGAGUACAGUGGCGCACGGGUGAGUAACACGUGAAUCAUCUACCUCCGAGUGGGGAAUAACUGAGAGAAAUCUUAGCUAAUACCGCAUAACACUUACGAGUCAAAGCAGCAAUGCGCUUGGAGAGGAGUUCGCGGCAGAUUAGUUAGUUGGCGGGGUAAUGGCCCACCAAGACGAUGAUCUGUAUCCGGCCUGAGAGGGCGCACGGACACACUGGAACUGAAACACGGUCCAGACUCCUACGGGAGGCAGCAGUGGGGAAUUUUGCGCAAUGGGGGAAACCCUGACGCAGCAACGCCGCGUGGAGGAUGAAGCCCUUGGGUGUAAACUCCUUCGAUCGGGAAGAUAAUGACGGUACCGAUAUAAGAAGCCCGGCUAACUUCGUGCCAGCGGCCGC
This 456-nucleotide ribosomal RNA is filed under the name uncultured bacterium. RNAcentral describes it as "SSU rRNA". It matches the Rfam family "Bacterial small subunit ribosomal RNA", at positions 26 to 518 of the family's 1533-position model. The record is from RNAcentral.